UACGUAGGGGGCGAGCGUUGUCCGGAUUUAUUGGGCGUAAAGAGCUCGUAGGCGGUUUGUCGCGUCUUCCGUGAAAACUGGGGGCUUAACUUCCAGCUUGCGGUGGAUACGGGCUGACUGGAGUUCGGUAGGGGAGACUGGAAUUCCUGGUGUAGCGGUGAAAUGCGCAGAUAUCAGGAGGAACACCGAUGGCGAAGGCAGGUCUCUGGGCCGAUACUGACGCUGAGGAGCGAAAGCGUGGGGAGCGAACAGG
RNAcentral lists this ribosomal RNA (253 nucleotides) under uncultured bacterium. RNAcentral's name for it is "partial 16S ribosomal RNA". It matches the Rfam family "Bacterial small subunit ribosomal RNA", at positions 524 to 776 of the family's 1533-position model. The record is from RNAcentral.